RNAcentral lists this long non-coding RNA (1292 nucleotides) under Numida meleagris (helmeted guineafowl). Its description in RNAcentral is "lncRNA (ENSNMEG00000006312.1)". The record is from RNAcentral. Lineage: Eukaryota; Metazoa; Chordata; Aves; Galliformes; Numididae.
CUAUGGUUCUGUGAUCUUUAAGGACCCUACCAACCCAUUCGGUGGUUCUGUGAUCUUCAAGGACCCUCCCAACCCGUUCUAUGGUUCUGUGAUCUUUAAGGACCCUCCCAACCCGUUCUAUGGUUCUGUGACCUUUAAGGACCCUACCAACCCAUUCGGUGGUUCUGUGGUCUUCAAGGACCCUCCCAACCCGUUCUAUGGUUCUGUGGUCUUCAAGGAUCCUCCCAACCCAUUCUAUGGUUCUGUGAUCUUUAAGGAUCCUCCCAACGCAUUCCAAGGUUCUGUGACCUUCAAGGACCCUCCCAAUCCAACCCAAUCUUUCCAUGGUUCUGUGAUCUUCAAGGACCCUCCCAACCCAAUUUUUCCAUGGUUUUGUGGUCUUCAAGGACCCUUCCAACCCCGUCUAUGGUUCUGUGGUCUUCAAGGACCCUUCCAACCCAUUCCAUGGUUCUGUGAUCUUUCAGGACCCUUCCAGCCCAACCAUUCCAUGGUUCUGUGACCUUUCAGGACCCUUCCAACCGAACCAUUCCUCAGUUCCAUGAUUUUCAAGGAUCCUUCCAACCCAACCAUUCCAUGGUUCUGUGAUCUUCCAGGACCCUUCCAACCCAACCCAGCUAUUCCAUGGCUCUGUGACCUUCAAGGACCCUUCCAACCCAACCAUUCCUUAGUUCCAUGACAUUCAAGGACCCUUCCAACCCAACCACUCCCUGUUUCUUUGACCUUUCAGGACCUUUCCAACCCAGGCAUUCCAUGGCUCAGUGCUCUUCCAGGACCCUUCCAACCCAACCAUUCCAUGUCUCAGUGACCUUCGAGGACCCUUCCAACCCAAGCACUCCCUGAUUCUUUGACCUUUAAGGACCCUUGCAGCCCAACCGAGCCAUUCCAUGGCUCAGUGUUCUUCCAGGACCCUUCCAACCCAAGCAUUCCCUGUUUUUUUGACCUUUCAGGACCCUUCCAACCCAACCACUCCAUGGCUCUCUGACCUUCAAGGACCCUUCCAACCCAACCAUUCCAUGGCUUUAUGACCUUCCAGGACCCUUCCAACCCAAUCCAACCAUUCCAUGGCUCUGUGCCCUUCCAGGACCCUUCCAACCUAGCCAUUCCAUGUCUCGGUGUUCUUCCAGGACCCUUCCAACCCAAUCUGACCAUUUCAUGGCUCUGUGCCCUUCCAGGACCCUUCCAACCCAAUCUGACUAUUCCAUGAUUUUAUGACCUUCCAGGACCCUUCCUACCCAACCCAGCCAUUCCAUGUCUCAGUGAUCUUCCAGGACCCUUCCAACCCAACCCAACCA